GAUCUUGUUUUUUGAUUAACGACCAAAGAUUGAUCACCACUUUCUAUUGGAAUCUAGAUGCAUGUUCCAUCUUCCACUGCGUAGUACACAAAUCCCUAUAGUGUUGGUAGCAGCAUCUGCAGAGGCUUUGAGUGUGGAGGUGGUGGAUAACAAGACUCUCUAACUAGUCGUCGUUUGUUCAGGUUCUAUGGUGGGCAUGCAUUAUAAGCUCUCAUAAAAAAUGUUUGCUGUUGUAUAAUGGGUGAUGAUUAGACU
Molecule: long non-coding RNA, 255 nt
Filed under: Carica papaya (papaya)
Lineage: Eukaryota; Viridiplantae; Streptophyta; Magnoliopsida; Brassicales; Caricaceae
Description: long non-coding RNA (CPAP_LNC000848)
Source: RNAcentral